This is a long non-coding RNA of Etheostoma cragini (Arkansas darter), 604 nucleotides long. RefSeq lists it as uncharacterized. The record is from RefSeq and is a predicted model, not a curated record. NCBI's taxonomy places the organism in Eukaryota, Metazoa, Chordata, Actinopteri, Perciformes, Percidae. The transcript has 3 exons.
CUAUAAAUUCUCUCAUUUUCUGGGAGAUUUUUGCUUUCAACUUUUCACCAACUUCUGGAUUCCGACAGAGUCUUUCUAAUCAAGUUGCUGUGGAUGUGGUCCAUAAUGGGGGUGCCCAGGAGUUUGUUGUUGCUCCUAAUUUUUCAGAGUUUUUCAGAAGGCAUUUCAGUGACAUAUGUCUCCAGCUGUGAUUCAUGUCAUGAUGAAGCAACCUGCCCGGAGUCACGAGAAAGAGGUGACUCUUUCACCACCCAACGGCACUCUUGUGUCUGUAAAGAUGGCUUUGUAGGUGAUGGUCUUAGAUGUUACAAUAUAGAACUCUGCCGUAACUCCUCUUGCUGCAGCCAAGGUUAUCACUGGUCACCAAACAGCGGCUGUGUGGACACUGACGAGUGCUCCCUCCCAAACUCACCGUGCAUGGCACCUCAAGUUUGUCAAAACACCCAGGGCUCCUUUGAAUGCUUGGAGCCUUCCUCCACCAACAAAUCAGGUCCCUCUUUCCAAUCUGUCCAUUUUAACUGUGGACACACAAUUUGUCCUUUAGGUAUGGACUGCAUCAGUAAUAAUGGGGUUGAGCGCUGUGCUGACCCCUGCGAGCACUAUA